This 429-nucleotide ribosomal RNA is filed under the name Acidobacteriota bacterium. RNAcentral's name for it is "Acidobacteria bacterium partial 16S ribosomal RNA". It matches the Rfam family "Bacterial small subunit ribosomal RNA", at positions 355 to 776 of the family's 1533-position model. The record is from RNAcentral. Lineage: Bacteria; Pseudomonadati; Acidobacteriota.
UGGGGAAUUUUGGACAAUGGGGGAAACCCUGAUCCAGCCAUCCCGCGUGUGCGAUGAAGGCCUUCGGGUUGUAAAGCACUUUUGGCAGGAAAGAAACGUCAUGGGUUAAUACCCCGUGAAACUGACGGUACCUGCAGAAUAAGCACCGGCUAACUACGUGCCAGCAGCCGCGGUAAUACGUAGGGUGCAAGCGUUAAUCGGAAUUACUGGGCGUAAAGCGUGCGCAGGCGGUUCGGAAAGAAAGAUGUGAAAUCCCAGAGCUCAACUUUGGAACUGCAUUUUUAACUACCGGGCUCGAGUGUGUCAGAGGGAGGUGGAAUUCCGCGUGUAGCAGUGAAAUGCGUAGAUAUGCGGAGGAACACCGAUGGCGAAGGCAGCAUACCGGGAUAACACUGACGCUCAUGCACGAAAGCGUGGGGAGCAAACAGG